Camellia sinensis is the source of this 431-nucleotide long non-coding RNA. RefSeq lists it as uncharacterized. The record is from RefSeq and is a predicted model, not a curated record. NCBI's taxonomy places the organism in Eukaryota, Viridiplantae, Streptophyta, Magnoliopsida, Ericales, Theaceae.
AUCUAUAGUAUUAACUUUUACAAAACGGGCAUUGUGAAACCAACCUCGAUGGAUGAAGGCCGAACCGUCUUGGACUCCACUCGGGCUCAGUAUAAAUACAUAAUACAAAACCUAGGGUUUAUCGUUUCCCUUCAUAUCUGAUCUUUCUAGGGUUUCAGAAAGGUAAACUGUAGCGAUGAGAGCUAAAUGGAAGAAGAAGCGCAUGAGGAGAUUAAAGAUGAAGCAUAGAAAGAUGAGGUAGAGAUCUAAGUAAUCGUCUCUCUACAGAUGUUGGUGGUUUUUCUCACUGCCAUUUGUGUCCUUCUUUAGGGUUCUAUUUAAGUUGUUACUUUUCAUUUCAUGUUUUACUUUUCACAUCAGUGCUAAUGAGACACAUGGAUUUUGUUGUUUCCUGAUGAUUUUUUAUUAUUCAUUUGGUAGAUUUGAUCUAA